UUCAAUUCAACUUGGUUUCAGUUGGGUAUUCCUCAACCCAAUAGGUACAAUUAAAAGAAGAUUUUUCUUCCUCCUCCCAUCAUUCUCUUAUCUUUAUGAGAAUAAAGUUCGGAAUGUAUAUUCCAAACAUUUUUUAGUGUAUUUUAACGGGACAUGCCACAUUAUGGACUUAACAAUUACAAAAAUUUGGAAAAUAUGUUCCGAAUUUUAUUCCCAAAGACAAAAACAAGAUUUCAGGGGAUAAGAUAAGAGAAUGAAAUUUGGAAUCUAUGUUUUUUUUUACAUGUUGGUUUCUAUUUUUGCCCUUGGAUAAAUAUUUUCGAACGCAUUUUCCGAAUUUUUUUUGCCUUGGAAAAAAUUUCGGAAUGUGUUUUCCGAAAUUUUUCCGAAUUUGAACUAGAAAAACUUCAUAAAAUGCAUUCAGAAGUUUUUAUACAAGGGCAAAAAAGAAUAAAAGGGGGUAGAAAAGAAAAUGUUGGGAGAGACAGGCUUGGUAGGCAUAGCCGCACACAUUCUUCUGCUCGUAGAGAGCUUGCUGCUAAUGCUCCUCCAAAAAGAGGUCGUCGUAGAUAAGGAUCACCUUUGGUGCAAGGAACGCAUAAUCAAGUAGUGGGGGAUUCAGCCGCCAUUGGUACACGAUCACGUUCAAGACGAGCACAAGUUGAUGUAGUUGAUGCAAAAUAUGAGUAUGUUAAUGAAGGUCAACAUAUGACUGAUUAUGCAGUGUGGGCUGAGGAAGAGUCUCAACCACAACCAACACACCCUAUUAGCAACAAAAAGAUCCGAAGAAUUAAUUUUUGUUUAUUUUUUGUAAACUAUCAAUUUCAGAUAAAAAAUAAACAUGUUUUUG
This 850-nucleotide long non-coding RNA is filed under the name Trifolium pratense (red clover). Its description in RNAcentral is "long non-coding RNA (TPRA_LNC001171)". Lineage: Eukaryota; Viridiplantae; Streptophyta; Magnoliopsida; Fabales; Fabaceae. The record is from RNAcentral.